RNAcentral lists this long non-coding RNA (2505 nucleotides) under Homo sapiens (human). Its description in RNAcentral is "HSALNT0364576". The record is from RNAcentral. Lineage: Eukaryota; Metazoa; Chordata; Mammalia; Primates; Hominidae.
CUCUCUCUCUGUACAUGAAGGGAUCAUGAGAGCUCACAGCAAGAUGGCGGCUGCCUACAAGCCAGGAAAAGAGGCCUUGGGGUGAAACUUACCUUGCAGUACCUUGAUCUUGAACUUCUUACCCUCCAAAACUGUGAGGAAUACAUUUCUGUUGUCUAAGCCACCUGGUCUAUGGUACUUGGUUAUAGCAGCUCCUGCAGACUGAUACACUCCAGGUGGUGGGAUUCUGGGUAAAUUUUGCUUUUUAAAAAAUACUUUGUUACUUUCUCUCUGUGCUGAAGGAGCAAAAAGUAUUCUUAUAAUAGUAGCUCAACAAUAUAUCCCCAAAAGCAUACAAGAUAAGGAACAUCACAUUUCUCAAACGUCUGCUCCUCAGGGAACUCUCUCUAGAUCUUCCCAGGUACUUGCUUCUUGUUUUGUUUCAUGGGCCUAACUUUUAGAGCUCAUGUCUCACUAUCUUGCAGGGCUUUUGGAGUCCCCUACUCAUACACCUUCUCAUACAUGAGACUACACUGCUUGAAAACCACAAUGGGCUCCAUAAACACUUUUGCAAUAGUGAAGAAGAAGAAAAAAUAAUGCCACACAUGAAUGCUCCUGAGAUGCCUCUGCCUAUUCUGGUGUGAUUGAAUUCUGUCCCCAGCAAAGGGAGGAAUGGGGUGAAUGUUGCUAUGUUUCUCUUUGCCUCCAUGGAAAGAAGUAUUUGGAGUAACCAGCAUCAUGGAGACAACAGCCUUACUCCCCAAGAAACCAGAGUUGGGGGAGAAGAGGGAUCUGCCUUCUCUGUGAAAGGCCCGGAGGCACUGAAAAGGAGCAGUUUCGGAAGAAUGCUGGCCUUGGAAUUAUCUACCCACCUAUCUAUCCAUCUGAUCAUCCAUCCAUCCAUCCAUCCUUUUAUCCAAUCUCCUAUCUGUCCAUCUGUCCAGCUAGCCAACCCUCAUUCACCAAAUAUUUAUUGAGCAUUUGCUAUGCACACUCACUAGGGAUAAAGUGGUAAACAAAAUGGACAUCAGAUCAAUUCAGGCUGGUGUCCUAGCUCAGCCAUUUAACUGUCACCUUGGGAAACUUGCUUGCUGUCUUUGAGCUGCUUUCUUUAUCUGCACAUUAGGGAUUCUAAUCUCUACAGUGAAAAAGGUUACAAUAAAUAUUGUCCAUAUAUGGACAUAACUUAGCACAGUAGCAAGACCACAGUAGGUGCACCACAAACAGUAGUUUUGGCAGUUCUCUAUCUCCCCCAAAGACCCCUGCCUACCACCCUUCUGCUGCAUAGGACAGCAUUUCUGCAUGAUCUUCAUACAAGGCAGCAACAAGGACCUGUGGGACGACGUUUGUCUGGGAGUGGAGAUGAGGCCCAAUGAGAGUCGGUGGCGUGUCUGAGGCUUACCGGUCCUUGAAGAGCAGGAGCUCCUUCCCCAGCAUUGUCACAGCGUCAAAGGAUGAGCUGGAGUCACAGAGGUCAGGGAUGGAUGGCUUGUGAUGGGGGGCAUGGGGCAGAGUGGGCUUCCCCAGGAAUACUUUCCGAGGUCCUAGGAUUCAAAAUGAGUUGGUCAAAAUGGUAACGGGAAUUUGGAGUUCACACACUUCUGCUCUAGAGCCCCAGGGGAGGUUGUACACUUUCACGCUGGACAUGUGAUCAUGAUCAUGGCUGUUGAGGGCAGGUAUGGGUUUGAGUCCCGGCUCUCCUGGUUGCUGAGCUGUGUGAUUUGAGGCACAUUAUUCAACUUUGCAAGCCUCAGCUUCCUCACUUGUUAAAAGGGAGGGAUAAUAAUAGUACUCACCUCAGAAGGCUGUUGUGAGAAUUAAAUAAUUCCUGUAAAGCAGGUAGCAGAGUGCUUGGCACAUAGCAUCCAGGAAAAACUGAGCGAGUUCUUGUGAAACUGAAGUACACUGAAGGUGUUUGCUAUUUAAAGGUAUCUUCUGGUGGAUCGUCUUGGAAAACAUGGACCCAAAUCUUGCGAGAGCUAUCAGUGAGUCUCCUCUCCUGCUCUGCAUCUCUCAGGACUGUGUCCCAGCUCCAGAAGAAUGAGCCUGCACAGCUUGGACUGUCACCUCUGGCAGGUUCCUGCUCUUUGAUGAAGCCUCGUCAUAAUUACAGCUGUGCCAAAAUAUGUGCUUUGCCUCCUGGCUGAGUGACAGUGGCCAUCCGAAGGCAGUGACUUUCCAGGGCACAAGGACCUCCAAAGGCAAGUGUUUGAGCUCAGCCCUUCUCGGUGGCCCACAGGAAUCGCUUCCCAUUGGAACACUGCCACCAAGGCUCUGGAGCUGAGUUUGUGACAUGGAGACAUUCAUGGCAUUUUUCCUGUCCCUCAAGGGUCAGGCAGAUCUGGUGCUUUCCCCCUCCUGGAAAUGGAUAGAGCUGGCUGAAAGCUUCUUGGGAUGAAAUUUGUCUUUUGUGCCUCAGGUGAAAUCUGACUGAUUUUGAAUGGUGUGCCCAUUUCUGGGCUUCCCACCCUCCAGAUCCCCUGGGGCCAGAUUCCUAGCACCCCAGGAAGCUGUUGGGGGAUCUGG